Non-coding RNA from Paramuricea clavata, 107 nucleotides. The record is from the annotation of a GenBank genome assembly. NCBI's taxonomy places the organism in Eukaryota, Metazoa, Cnidaria, Anthozoa, Malacalcyonacea, Plexauridae.
GACUCGAUAGCUCAAUGGGUAGAGCGGCGGUCCAACGAUGGCUCUGGGUACGAGAUUGGCGGCGGUCUAGAUACCCGAAGAUGCGAGUUCAAAUCCCGCUCGAGCCA